Molecule: ribosomal RNA, 2901 nt
Filed under: Klebsiella pneumoniae
Lineage: Bacteria; Pseudomonadati; Pseudomonadota; Gammaproteobacteria; Enterobacterales; Enterobacteriaceae
Also listed under: 1 other name
Description: 23S ribosomal RNA
Rfam family: Bacterial large subunit ribosomal RNA
Source: RNAcentral
GGUUAAGCGACUAAGCGUACACGGUGGAUGCCCUGGCAGUCAGAGGCGAUGAAGGACGUGCUAAUCUGCGAAAAGCGUCGGUAAGGUGAUAUGAACCGUUACAGCCGGCGAUGUCCGAAUGGGGAAACCCAGUGCAAUUCGUUGCACUAUCGUUAACUGAAUACAUAGGUUAACGAGGCGAACCGGGGGAACUGAAACAUCUAAGUACCCCGAGGAAAAGAAAUCAACCGAGAUUCCCCCAGUAGCGGCGAGCGAACGGGGAGCAGCCCAGAGUCUGAAUCAGCUUGUGUGUUAGUGGAACGGUCUGGAAAGUCCGACGGUACAGGGUGAUAGUCCCGUACACCAAAAUGCACAGGUUGUGAACUCGAAGAGUAGGGCGGGACACGUGGUAUCCUGUCUGAAUAUGGGGGGACCAUCCUCCAAGGCUAAAUACUCCUGACUGACCGAUAGUGAACCAGUACCGUGAGGGAAAGGCGAAAAGAACCCCGGCGAGGGGAGUGAAAAAGAACCUGAAACCGUGUACGUACAAGCAGUGGGAGCACCUUCGGGUGUGACUGCGUACCUUUUGUAUAAUGGGUCAGCGACUUAUAUUCUGUAGCAAGGUUAACCGUAUAGGGGAGCCGCAGGGAAACCGAGUCUUAACUGGGCGUUAAGUUGCAGGGUAUAGACCCGAAACCCGGUGAUCUAGCCAUGGGCAGGUUGAAGGUUGGGUAACACUAACUGGAGGACCGAACCGACUAAUGUUGAAAAAUUAGCGGAUGACUUGUGGCUGGGGGUGAAAGGCCAAUCAAACCGGGAGAUAGCUGGUUCUCCCCGAAAGCUAUUUAGGUAGCGCCUCGUGAACUCAUCUUCGGGGGUAGAGCACUGUUUCGGCUAGGGGGUCAUCCCGACUUACCAACCCGAUGCAAACUACGAAUACCGAAGAAUGUUAUCACGGGAGACACACGGCGGGUGCUAACGUCCGUCGUGAAGAGGGAAACAACCCAGACCGCCAGCUAAGGUCCCAAAGUCAUGGUUAAGUGGGAAACGAUGUGGGAAGGCACAGACAGCCAGGAUGUUGGCUUAGAAGCAGCCAUCAUUUAAAGAAAGCGUAAUAGCUCACUGGUCGAGUCGGCCUGCGCGGAAGAUGUAACGGGGCUAAACCAUGCACCGAAGCUGCGGCAGCGACACUAUGUGUUGUUGGGUAGGGGAGCGUUCUGUAAGCCUGCGAAGGUGUGCUGUGAGGCAUGCUGGAGGUAUCAGAAGUGCGAAUGCUGACAUAAGUAACGAUAAAGCGGGUGAAAAGCCCGCUCGCCGGAAGACCAAGGGUUCCUGUCCAACGUUAAUCGGGGCAGGGUGAGUCGACCCCUAAGGCGAGGCCGAAAGGCGUAGUCGAUGGGAAACAGGUUAAUAUUCCUGUACUUGGUGUUACUGCGAAGGGGGACGGAGAAGGCUAUGUUAGCCGGGCGACGGUUGUCCCGGUUUAAGCAUGUAGGCUGGUUAUCCAGGCAAAUCCGGAUAAUCAAGGCUGAGGUGUGAUGACGAGGCACUACGGUGCUGAAGUAACAAAUGCCCUGCUUCCAGGAAAAGCCUCUAAGCAUCAGGUAACAUCAAAUCGUACCCCAAACCGACACAGGUGGUCAGGUAGAGAAUACCAAGGCGCUUGAGAGAACUCGGGUGAAGGAACUAGGCAAAAUGGUGCCGUAACUUCGGGAGAAGGCACGCUGGUGUGUAGGUGAAGUCCCUGCGGAUGGAGCUGAGACCAGUCGAAGAUACCAGCUGGCUGCAACUGUUUAUUAAAAACACAGCACUGUGCAAACACGAAAGUGGACGUAUACGGUGUGACGCCUGCCCGGUGCCGGAAGGUUAAUUGAUGGGGUUAUCCGUAAGGAGAAGCUCUUGAUCGAAGCCCCGGUAAACGGCGGCCGUAACUAUAACGGUCCUAAGGUAGCGAAAUUCCUUGUCGGGUAAGUUCCGACCUGCACGAAUGGCGUAAUGAUGGCCAGGCUGUCUCCACCCGAGACUCAGUGAAAUUGAACUCGCUGUGAAGAUGCAGUGUACCCGCGGCAAGACGGAAAGACCCCGUGAACCUUUACUAUAGCUUGACACUGAACAUUGAGCCUUGAUGUGUAGGAUAGGUGGGAGGCUUUGAAGCGUGGACGCCAGUCUGCGUGGAGCCAACCUUGAAAUACCACCCUUUAAUGUUUGAUGUUCUAACGUUGGCCCCUGACCGGGGUUGCGGACAGUGUCUGGUGGGUAGUUUGACUGGGGCGGUCUCCUCCCAAAGCGUAACGGAGGAGCACGAAGGUUAGCUAAUCCUGGUCGGACAUCAGGAGGUUAGUGCAAUGGCAUAAGCUAGCUUGACUGCGAGCGUGACGGCGCGAGCAGGUGCGAAAGCAGGUCAUAGUGAUCCGGUGGUUCUGAAUGGAAGGGCCAUCGCUCAACGGAUAAAAGGUACUCCGGGGAUAACAGGCUGAUACCGCCCAAGAGUUCAUAUCGACGGCGGUGUUUGGCACCUCGAUGUCGGCUCAUCACAUCCUGGGGCUGAAGUAGGUCCCAAGGGUAUGGCUGUUCGCCAUUUAAAGUGGUACGCGAGCUGGGUUUAGAACGUCGUGAGACAGUUCGGUCCCUAUCUGCCGUGGGCGCUGGAGAAUUGAGGGGGGCUGCUCCUAGUACGAGAGGACCGGAGUGGACGCAUCACUGGUGUUCGGGUUGUCAUGCCAAUGGCACUGCCCGGUAGCUAAAUGCGGAAGAGAUAAGUGCUGAAAGCAUCUAAGCACGAAACUUGCCCCGAGAUGAGUUCUCCCUGAGACUAUAAGUCUCCUGAAGGAACGUUAAAGACGAUGACGUUGAUAGGCCGGGUGUGUAAGCGCAGCGAUGCGUUGAGCUAACCGGUACUAAUGAACCGUGAGGCUUAACCUU